Molecule: long non-coding RNA, 2209 nt
Organism: Manis pentadactyla (Chinese pangolin)
Lineage: Eukaryota; Metazoa; Chordata; Mammalia; Pholidota; Manidae
Exons: 2
Source: RefSeq, a predicted model, not a curated record
GAAGUGGAAGACGAGAGAUUAAGAGAAAAUAAUUAAAAAGACAUAAAAAUGGCUUUGGGUGGCCACUGUAUGAUCAUUGAAUGUCCCAGGAGGAUCCCGGGAGAGGGAAGGUAAAGAUGGAGGGAGAAAGAAUUGAAGGGAGGAAGAAAAGUAAAGGAGAAUAAAAGGGCGGGAGGGACAGACACCCACACACACCACGCCGAGGCAGAAAUGGAUUUUGCAGAAAUGACACUGCUCAGUUGGGCUUCGCAAACACGCCCUUGGCCGCGGGCCAGGCAGCGCCCGGACUAUCAAAGGGUGAAGUUACACCAUUAUCGAAUUUCCCCUCCCUGGAGCCUCUGGAAGUCGUUGCCAGGAACGUCAGGGGGAAAUCCAUCCCUUUGUCUCUCCUUUUCCCCGGUGGACGUGAUUUCGUGUCUCCUCCGCGGGGCCCCUCCGGCAGGAUGCGGAGGGGUGAGGCGCGGGAGGCGGGCAAGCCGCGGGGCGAGGAGAGGCGCUGUGUGCUGGGGGGUCGCCAGGCCGCAAGUGAGCCCUGAACGCAGGGGCCGGGGAGGUGGGGAGGGGAGCCCCAAGCCUGAGCUCAAGGCCACCUCCUCCGAGGCCCGGGCCAGGUGCGCGGGGGCCGACAGGCUCGUGGGUGGGCGCCGGCAGGGGGCUCCCCGCGGGCCCGCCCCCCACGAUCCCCGGCGUCACGGCGCCUCUGCCCCCCCCCCGAGCUCGCCCGCGCCGGGCCUCCCGAGAACAGGCUCGGGCUCCGGAGAGCAGGCAGUCCCACCUCGGGCCGCCAGGCCGCGCGCGCGGGCAGCUUCCAAGCUGCUGGCCAAGCUGCUGCCGCUCGGGACGAGGCCUGGGCGGCCCCCGCCCUCUCCGGUCUGGAAAUAACGUUACUACAGAGGAACUUGAGGGCCGCCUAGUGGAAGGCUUUAUUCACAAGGACAAAAGAGAGUUUGGCAGGUUGGCAAAGGGCCUCUUGAAGCCAUCAGCUGUGGGUGGGGUAUAGCCGCUGAGACACGCCCAGGAGAGAGGCGGGUCUCUGCUUCACUGGACCCAGGACAGUUUGCUGACCAAUCGCAUAACAUUCUCUGGACCAGAAGCUUUUGCUGCAUCAAGUACUGGCUCACAGGUUCUGGGGCUGAGUGGUGGCUGUUUUCAGGGGCCCAGGGAUGCCAGGAGGUGCGGCUCUACGGCUGUCACUGGGUAGAGUCAAGAGAACUGCCAAAGUAAGCAGCCUGCUUGCAGUGGGAAGACUCAGAGCCAAGCCUCUAGGGGAAGUUGUGGGGCUUCCCACUCAAAUUUCAAGUGGGAAAACUUCAGCCACCUUGUAUAGAUUCCUUCAAUCCUGUGUUCUAGCCAGGCCCUGCUGCUCUAGCAAAGGGGCUGAGCCCUUUACCUUUUGGUGCCCACAUGGGACCAAGUGUGACCAGGUAGUCCUGGGCGAGUCCCUUCUAGCUGGGCUUAGGUUUUCUCAUUUAAAAACUGACCUCUCCAGAGCUUCCCAGUGAGGGCCUGUUGUUUUCCUAACAGCAGGUAUACAAAGUCAAGAUCACCAAAUUGCCUAUUGGUGGGGAGAGUGGAAGAUGGAAACAUGAAGCAUUGCCUUCCCCACAUCAGCAGGCAGGGCGUUGAACCCACUCCUAUAGAGUUGUGGGAAUCCCCAGGCUUCCCUCAGCGUUUUGAUUCCCCCUCUCCACAAUUUCAGAACAAAUGGGUUUUCCAAUAGUAAAACCAAACCUAGAUGCAAAAAAAUUAUUUGUAAGUGGUGUGGAUUGAGUAAUAUAUAGGAAAAAUGCCCAAUUUAUACUAUUUUUUUUUAAGUACAUUAGUUGUGGAUAAAAUGAGAGUUCCUGUGGCCAGGAUUCUCACGUGGCCAUGAUUGACUAGCUCACUGCACACCUGUGGGCAAUACAUGGCUGUUGACUCUAUAUAAAGAGCUCUGCCCAGUGCUCUGGGCACAACACGGUGGCAGGGCUGCAAGGCUGCAGGAGAGCAGAGCAGAGGCUGGAGUGGUGGCAGCACUGAGUACAGAGGCCCAGAGGACGGCUGUGCGGGACAACUGUGCAGAGAAGCCCAGAGGACGGCUGUGCAGACAGAGAGGCCCAGAGGCAGAGACCGGCUUGCUACAUACAGACUCGCUCUGAGUGAAUGGGAUUCUAGUGACUGACCUGCCACCUGGAAAUAAAGUUGGGUAUAAUCCUUUCACUCCAAAGAA